Rhipicephalus microplus (southern cattle tick) is the source of this 12783-nucleotide long non-coding RNA. The record is from RefSeq and is a predicted model, not a curated record. Lineage: Eukaryota; Metazoa; Arthropoda; Arachnida; Ixodida; Ixodidae.
GAGUCUCUGACAAAUGAAGAACGCCAAUAAAGAGCCAUCGCUGCCGACAUCAACCAUGUUUGGUUCGGUGACAUGAGGAAAAAAACAAUCUGACGACCACAGCCACCACACCUACUUUCGCUGACCGUAUUGGUAUUCCAGCCACCGUAGUGUUGAUUAGUGAAAAUUGUAGCGCACUUUUGCAGUUGCGCCUUAAGUGGUGUUUCCUAUUUUGACAGUUUUUGCCCUGUGCAUCUUCGUUGCCGCACGUGCGUGUGCCGAGGUGGAGUGCGAGCGUCACCGUGUGACAGUGCUUGUGGCUGAAGUCAAGCGAAAUUGGUGCCGGAGGUGAUCUACUAGAUUGUGUGAAGCCUGCCACAUGCCGCGGACCGUGACAGCAAGCUUCCGCGAGCAUGGUCGUGGAACUAUGGCAGCAACGUGGAAGAUCUGUUCAACUCAUUGAAGCUUGUCUUGCCAGAUCAAUAGAAUCCUAUUGGAUAUGCAGAGAACCAAAAUUAAGAAAACUGUAACCAAUACCACAAUCGUAGCAAAAGAGCUGUCCUUGUUUUAAUGUGCUUGUUUGGUGCAAAGUACUGAGAUGUGCUGUUAUUUAUAUCUUGUUUUUCAACCAGUUUGCGAAUAAGCUUGCACUAGUAUUUGCAGCAGGGCCGCAUGCACAAAACAUUUCACACAUUUGUCUUUAAAUGAGUGUCCUAGCUUAUCUGCGGAGUACAAAAAGUACAUGUUUUUAGUUGUAAAGUGCCUCUGGUAUUACAUUAUCGUCUAGGGAGUAAGUAAGAUCUUGAAUGCACCUUUUAAAAGAAGUGGAUGUACUGUUACGGUAAAUAAUAUCCCUGUAAAUGCCUUCCCUGCAGCCCUUUUUUUUAUUGUUCCUCGUGCAUGCGGAGCCUAGCUGCCACUGAUGAUUUAAUGUCUGACAUUUGGACGUUAAACCCCACAUAUCAAUUAUUUAAUCAAUCAACUAAUAUGAAACCUUAACCACUGUUUGCUAUUAAGCCUCUUCGACAUGUGACUGUCCGAAUAUAAGUUGAAGAACACAACUGAAUAUGUUCUGGAAGCACGAAUUUUCAUGUUUUCUUAAAAAACUAAAUGUUAGUUUUCAAGAUUCAUUCCCUGAAUCUUUGUUUUUAUGUCUGUUUACUGGCCUGUAUGAAACGACAGGGUUUUGAAGAUAGUGUUUUGAAAAUUAGGAACGACGGUGGAGGGGGGGACAACAAUAAGAAAAGUCGCUAGUUUCGGAGCCAGUCAGACAGUUGCCCUCUGAAAAAGAGACCAAAUAGCUCCCAGAAUAUAAAGCCAGUUUUCAAUUUCAAUAUUGAGAACUAUAGACUAAAAGUGGCUUGAGAGUUAUAAUUUCUUGUUCAAAAAGCAUCGAGUAGCCAAACUGCUUUCUAUGCUUCCUUCUUGUGUGACUGGCCAUUGGCAUUCUAUAAUAAUGAACCAGUUCAUGUGCAGUAUGCCAUUUAAUUUUUGUGUCUAGAACCAAGAAAAUAUAAUCUGUGAUUCGGCCUACACCUUAAGCUCAAGUCAGCCAGCUUUGACAGAUUUGCAAACAGUACUUCAUAUGUUAACUUGUGGCCAGCGUCAUUUGCUUCUUUAUUAUUUCCUGUACCUUCGUGCUGUUUUUACUCAAGUGUGUGAGUAUGUUUCACUGCCACUUUCGUAGGCUAUAUUGCUUGCUUGUGUCUGAAGACAACAGGUAUUGCUGCGUCCUGCUCAUAAAUUUCUGCGUACGCGCGCAGACUUGAUCGACAUACCUCCCGAGCUGUCUCCCCACGAAGGCUUGAGUGAGGAAAUGAAGCUACAGCCUGGCCCUGUGUGCAGCGAAACCACACCUAGCUGUGAAAGCGAGGGGAAGAGCCGGGAACCGCACGUAUGCAGCUACUGUAGCAAAGUGUGCAAGCAUAAGAGCUUCCUGGAAAAACAGCUACGUAGCCACACAAAAAGAGUGUUGUGCGUCAUGUACGAACACGCAUAAGUGAAGUCACUUUGCUGUUGUUUCUGCCCGGCGACAUUUGCCACCAACUGGCAGAAGAGGAAACACGAGGUCGCGGAACAAUGGCAGCAACAUGAGAUCCUGGAGUUUUGUUCAUCUCGCGGCAUUUAAUCUUAUUAGGCUUGAUAUAAAUGUAUUGCAUGUAUAGAAAAGUGAGCUAAGAAUGGCACAAAUAAGCAAGUCAGUGCUAGUGGAACCAAAAUGGCUGCCUCUCCAGCAUUGUGCUCUCCUGAAAUGAGUUCACGAUUACGAUCACAAGCUUGUUGAUAGAAUUGUUCAUGAUCCAGUUUGUACAGAAGCUUGGACUGUUAAUGGCAGCAUGAAAUGCUUCAUUAAAGGCUUCAAUUGACUCUAUUGCCAAUUUCACCAUUACAGGCUUAUUAAUAGCAUAUAAAAUUAAGGUCAAAGUUUCAUUUUUGAAUUUUGCACUGAAAUUUCUGUGCAUGACAUCACAGAUUUCAAAAAGUUUUGUUUGUAUUUCGACGAACACUGGCUCCAGGAUUUUUUCUGGAACUUGAUGUGCUAAAGCUUUAGCUCCCUCAAAGAACUACAUGCUUCAUUUUUUUAUUGAAUAGGAACUGCAUAGGCCCUAGAAGUCGCUGUCAAAGUCUGUCAUGUCGUGUCGAAUGGUGUGGGGACUUCAAGGGGCGCUGCCACCAGCAUUUUUUUUCUGCACGUUUUCUCGCUUACCAAGCAUCUUGUCGAGGCAAACUUGGUGAUUUUGGUAUUGUAAAUGUGGGAUUCACUAAUACAGAAAUAGUCAUUUCGCUUUUUAGUGUCCCUUUAGCAUGUGGGAAACACCUCAAAUGCUCAUGUUGCCAUGCCUGCAUUAUCGUGUGGGCGAAUGUUGUCUGUCUCUUAUGUCAUGUUUCUUUGUGCUGCUUUUAUGCAAGUGUGUGUGAGUGUUAUGUACUGCUGCAUACAAUAUGGUAUCUCUUUCAUGAUGUUAAAAAGAGAACAGGACAGGGACUGACUUGCUCUGACCAUUCCAAAGCGUCAAAUAAUGUCAUCUGUGUCUCCGGAAUGGGCAUAGCCAAGGGAGGGGCUCAAACCUCCACGAAAUUUUAAUUCUUCAAUUUUGUUUAUAUAUACGUUCACACAUUCAAAUGCACGUACGAACAUAGUUGAGCCCCCCCUACUGGUGUCUGGCCUACAUUUCGCUCUAGCACGUACAGUUAGUGGCUCAUUUACAUGUCAAGUGGCAAGAUUUGAGGAAGCCUUGUACCCAGUGACCUUUAUUUAAGCUAGUUGCGAGAAAUCGGUCAAGGAACGAGAAACAGAAAAGGAGUUGUAAGAGCAAGAACUUGGUUGUUAUGCCUUAUGCACGCAAAUUUUUCUAUGGCCUCAAUAUCUUUACAGUUCAGUGCAGAGUAUAAGUCGUUUAUUUGGCUCCCAGUAAACUGCGUGCGGUGUGUCCAGUAAUAGAAAGAUUGGCUGUAGGCCAUAUUUAUGACUAAGCAUUACGAAUAAUGCUCAUAAGCACACCAACUGCUGGACGAAUUUUGGAUACUGCUUUUCACUUUCAUGCAGAUGGGAAUGUAUAGGACAGCUGGGGCAAUGCAUCAAUGUUUUGGCUCACGAAGCAUGUCUUAAAGGGGCCCUGCUACACUUCUUCAAGUAGCUAUAGAAUUAAUUCACUGCAAAGCUUAUUGCCUCAUGAAUUUACCCCCGCAAAAAAGUUUUCGUAUCCGUCUAGUGUGAGCGGAGUCACCAGGAUGUUUCGCAUGCUGCAAUCGCAUUCUCUCUCCUCUCGUCCCAAUAAAAGCACUGGAAACUAAGCCGUGAGGUAUAACAAGGGGGAAAGCAAAUACGUCAUGCGCGAUUCGUUACCUUGACCACUUUUUUUUUUUUUCUUUUCGAUCAAGCGUCUUUUUAAAGCGAUUGCAUGGGCAUACGUGUGGACAAGUCGCAGCCUCUUGCAGUGAUCCCUGUAACAACUGAGUGUGCCAUGCUCAAAUCAGCUAAUAGAUGAUCGAACGGCUGUGCUCAGUGAUUUUUUAGUUUCUUCCGCCAUUUGUCAAGAGAGAGCAAUUUUUAGCUGAAUUUGAGAAUUUAUUGCGAGUUCCAGGCCAUGUGCUUCACCAUAAUAUUUGAAUCGCGUGUUCUCGAAAGCUUCUACUACCAAUCGGAAGCAUUUUCUGAUCAUCCUCAGAAAGUGUUGCAGGGCCCCCUUUUAAGUCUGAACAAGAAUGGUCACAAGAAUCUGCCCGAACAUUGCUGUCUGUGAAAGUGCUGGCCUAAUUUCAAUCACACAGAGAUUUUGUAACGACGACAAUGACAACAACCGUAAUGCGAGCAUAAGAAGCUUCGCUGCCAAAACAGCAAUGCACGUUACUGUGUAGUUGCUAAACCGAAUCAUGACCCUUGUCACACUGUGCCGUCUGCCCAAGCGUAGAGAUAUUAACAUGAAAUCAGUCGUCAAGCCAGUACAGAUCGAACUAAACAGCAUUGUACGCAUCAGCCAGCCUUUGAUUGCAUAAUCUGAGAGGAAAAUAGCAUAUCUAUGUGCACAUUGGGAUCAUGUCAGCGAAGUAACAUAUGUAGUCUGUACCGUAAUCUUCCGUUGUUCUAGAUGCGAAGCAUUUCUUAGCGAACCAAAGGCACCCAGAUGAAGCAUUUCAAUCUAUAUACCUAUUUUGCCACUUUUGUCUGGGUACUCUCGUUACUGCCUCCUUAACUUGGUCUGUACAUCACCUAGUUAAGGUCAUAUGAAUGAUCUGCCUAUGACUGUCUGGUCAUGACAUGAAUAACAUGAGAAUCCCAUUGUGUGUCAUCAAGCCAUUUUCUCCAGACAAGUUUGGCAUGUACCCAUAUACAACAGAUUGCAGUAUGCAAGUGUGCGCCACAGGUGACUGAGAGUUAAUGUCUAUUCAGGAACAGCAAGAACAGACAUGUGUAAUUCAAAUGCAAGGGCGUUAUUAAAAACCAACAUUGGCAGCAAUUACCAUAGAAAUGCAAAAAAUAAAAAUCAGAAUCUCAGCAGUAAUCGAACCCAAGCUCUCUGAAUUGCAGCAAGAUAAUCUACCACAGAGCGAUUCUAGGUUUUGAACCUUUAGAAAAAGAUUCUAUGCAGGUGUAACGUCACUGUGCUAGCUAUGAAACUUUAUAGCAAGAAUACACAGACACAAAGUCAGUACACUUCAAGUGUAAUGUAGAACUUUUGGUUCAUUGUGUAAUACAUUAAAAACAACAGCUUCGAAACUGCAAACCUUCAACGGCACAGGGAGUCGGCAGGUGAAUGGUUUGGCUCAAGCGGCAUAAUUUUUUCUUGGUCGCAGUCUUCUUCACCGCACCUUUCGAGCCGAGCCCAUUUUCUCAAGUACCAAGUGAGGGAAGCCGUCGUCUGGAGCAUCACCUGUACGGCGACACCUCAGCUGCCUGGGUGAGAAAGCCAAUGAACGGGCGAUCGUACGAUUGCAGCUACUGUGGAAAAGUGUUUCCGCGCAAGUGUGGCCUGGCCAAACAUGUGCGCAUUCAUACGGGCGAGAGACCAUACUCCUGCCACCUGUGCCCCAUGACAUUCAACCAGAAAGAGAGCCUUACGCGCCACUUGCGGGAGCAUUCUGGUGACAAGCCAUUUCAUUGCCGCAUCUGCCAAAAGGCAUUCACCAGGCAGUAUUAUAAAAGAAGACACGAGGCGGCACAUACACGGUCAGCUUCUCGUAGUGCAAGGCCGAGUGAGUCUUAGCAACAUCGGUGUGAUGAGGACUUCAUAAGCGGGUGUGAAGCAGGGUGUCAAACACAUAAACCUCAUUACAACAAACUUGGAUCUUACAACAAAUAAGCUUGUUACAUUAAAAAGUUCAUUAUAAAAGUUAUAAUAUAGCUAUUGCAAGACUAUCUUUUAUUUAUUUUGUUAUAAGUUAUAUUUUGUUAUAUCUAUGCUAAUUAUAUAUAUGUGCUAAUUAUAUUAAGACUUUAGUGUAUAUGCCUUCGGGAUCAAAGCACGUCAUUUUGCUCAGUUUGCACUUUGCAAAAAUGAAAGUCUAGUUGCUCUUGAACUGGUUUAAACCAUCAAACAGCUGAACAGACUGGUUGGGCACAGUAUCAACCUUAUUUAUGACAUGCUGUACAGUGCUUUCAACAACAUUAGUGUGCCAAGCUAGAUCAGUGCAGGAGUGAUUUCUCAAGCGAAUGCACUUGUAGUUUAACAUGACUUGUCUUGUAAUUUUUCAACUUAAUUUUGUUAUCAUGACCACUCAUGUUCUGCGCAAUGGGCACAGCAAUAGUGAAGCAGCACAUAUUCUUAUGAAUGUACAAAUAGCGAUAUUUUGAAGGGAAGUCAAAUAGUUCUUUUGGAAAAUACUCGUAUAUUUAUAUGGGACUUUUGUUGAAGUGGGGUAGAGCAAAAAGAAGUCAAUGUGUUCUGUGCCAGGCCUGACUUCUGCAACCAUCUAUCAUCCCACCUGUACAAUAAACAUCUCUCACCCGUAACAUAAUUGGUGGAGAGUGCUGGGUAACGCCUUGGAGCACCGGACAAGUACGGCGGAAGACACACCCUGGAGCUUCGCCGGAGCCGCAGACUCGCAGGACUUCCACCGUUACGAGUCAUCAUGAACCCUGACGGCAAAAUCCAACCAGCUACGCCUAACACCUAUGGACACCAUUACAGGGAACCGCGCCCGUUCUCUGGGAAACCUGGAGAGGACGUCGAUGAAUGGCUCAAGCACUAUCAGCGGGUGAGUCUGUAUAACCACAGGGACACUACCAGUCAGCGCAACUAUGUACCACUUUUUCUUGAGGGAACCGCAUUGAUGUGGUACGAGAUUCAUUAGGAGAAUUUGACUACCUGGGCGAAUUUCGUGGACGAAGUCAAGAAGUGUUUUGGAGAUCCGACCACGAUGAAGAAGCGUGCUGAGCAGACCCUGAGCCAACGUGCUCAAGUCCCUGGGGACACGUACGAUGUAUUAUUGAAGAAGUUCUCAAGCUUUGCAAGAGUGUGGACCCACUAAUGACUGAUGAGGAUAAGGUCUGGCAUCUCCUUAAGGGCAUUGCAGAGGCUAGCUAUCACUACCUUAUAGGAAAGGAUGACUUGCAGUCGGCCAAUGAUAUCAUCCGAUAUUGCCGAACAUUUGAGGCCCUUAAUGCUCGGCGCAUUUCGGCAAAAUUCGGAAGACUCCCCAACGUCACAACAGUCGCGAGCAUCGACGUAGUCUCUCCACUCAGCGAUCUGGCAUCAACAAUACGAUAAAUAGUGCGUGAAGAACUUGAUCGGCAGGACGCUACUGCACCGUCGAUAGCACAUGGCCAUGGUUCUUAUACACCAUGUGGUCCUCCGCUUCGUCGACUCAAGGGUGCCGGUGCAGUUGCGUCGUCAUGCCUAUAUGUCUGAUCUGCGAAACGACUCCGUGCAAAGAUCACCCCUCGAUAGGGCAGCGUGGCAAGAUUAUCCCGCUGACCAUCUUCAGUAGCGAGUGUGGCGUAAAGCACCUGUGUGCUUUUACUGCGGCGUUCGUGGACAUUUAGCCCGCUUCUGCUCAGAGCAGCAUCAGCCACCUCUGCUGCAGUAUCAACGACCCUCGGCAUUCUCACGGCGCGCAAGUACUCAGAGAGACUAUCGCUGGCCACCCAACGGCUACUACCGAACCGACUUUUAACAGACCUUCGCAGCGAUUUGCCGGCUUCUGUCUGGAGUGUGACGCCACCGGCUUCCUCCCGCCAGCAUCGGUCACCAUGACCAGGUCGUCGGCGUCUCACUUCUCCUCCUCCGCCGGGAAACUAGACGCCGCAGCUGAUGGAGGUGAAGUCGCCGGACAUUUUUCACUGCGUACAGAUAUGCCUCCGCCAGUUUCCAGUGGUACAAAACAGGAGCAGUGUUCUUAUAGAUGGUGUCCCCACGCCCCCGUUAGUCGAUACAGGAGCAACUGUUUCUGUCAUGAGCAGAAAUUUUAAGACUCGUCUUGGCAAGAAAGAGAUGUUCUCUUGGAGAAGCCAGGACAACGUUCGUGCAAUGAGUGGAGAACCGUUGCAGCCCAGUGGUAGUUUGUACUGCAACUUUUAGUUUCGGUGCUAAAUUGUUUAAAGCAGAUUUUGUAGUAGUUCUUAAUUGUACUCAUGACGUUAUCCUGAGGAUAAACUUUCUGAAAGAAUGUGGAGCCACUGUGGAUUGCGCAGCUGGCGAGCUUCUACUGUCUGGUUUUUGUGAAGAGGCCACGUGAUGCCAACAGACUGUUGCAGUCGUCGAUGACACAGUUUUACUGGCCCAAUCGAUAGUUCAAGUGCCCGUGGAUGUUUGUGGUAUCACAGCAGAUAACGUUGACGUUAUAGUUCACCCAAUCCAGCUGAGCUGUGCGAAGAAGGAUGUGGCUGUGCCGCAUUGCGUGAUUUCUGCAUGUAGUGGCAAGGCCUUGGUAUGGGUGGUCAACUCCUCUUCCGAGCUGAUUGUACUGCCUGGUGGAAUGAGGCUGGCUGUGUUUGAAUUCACCGUUAGAAGCAACGUUAACAUUGCAGUCAUUAGCAACAACAGGAAAAAGGAAAAUACCUCUGAUGUGGCUUGUCCUAGUGAUGACAUACUAAUGGAUAUGGUGAAUAAGUAGCUAUCGCCAGAGAAGAGACAAGCGUUAGUUCGAAUCCUCUCCAAUCAUGCAUUCGUUUUUGAUUUCGCACUGAAUAGUCGCAGAAUUCCUGCAUCACCUUCGCACACUCGUCAUGCGAUUGAUACUGGUUCCGCCUAUCCCAUUUAUCAGAGACCAUACAGAGUAGCUCCAGUCGGAGCAUAAUGUUAUUGCUGAGCAGGUGGAAGAAAUGCUGUCUAAGAAAGUUAUACAAGCGUAGUCUAGCCCCUGGGCAGCACCAGUUACACUUGUAAAAAAGAAGGAUGGGUUUUGGAGAUUCUGUGUAGAUUACCGGUGGCUCAACUCAGUUACAAAAAAAAAAGUAUAUCCGCUUCCCCGCAUCGACGACGUUAUCGAUUGUUUGCACUGUGCUUCGUACUUUUCUUCCGUAGACUUAAGAUCGGGAUAUUGGCAAAUCCUUAUGCACUUUGCUGAAUAAAAAAAAAACGACUUUUAUAACUCCAGAUCGUUUAUUUGAAUUUAACGUCAUGCCGUUUGGUCUAUGUAACGCUCCAGCCACGUUUGAGCGCUUUAUGGACACAGUUCUCAGUGACUUAAAAUGGGAAGUAUGUCUUUGCUAUCUUUAUGACGUUGUAAUCUUUGGCCGCAUGUAUGAAGAAUACAAUUGACGACUUGAUGUCGUUCUCCCGUGCCUUGAGAAAGCAGUACUUACCUUGAUUUACAAAAAGUGCCAUUUUAGUGUUCGUGAAACUCUAAUUCUUGGCCAUCUCGUAGACAAACACGUCGUUCGGCCUGAUCCCCACAAAAUCACCACGGUCAGCACUUUCCCUCAACCACACUUGCUACGAGAACUCCGAAGCUUCCUGGGCCUGUGUUCGUAUUUCGGGCGCUUUUUUCCUAGCUUCGCCUGUGUUGCUGAGCCUCUUAUACUCAUCUGCUCAACAAAGAUGUACCUUUCAAGUGGACAAAAGAGUGCGAGUCAUCGUUCUCGCAGCUGAAGCUUCUACUCACUUCUGGGCCUAUUCUUCGUCAUUUCAACGCAUCAGCCCCAACUGAGGUUCACAGUGACGCAAGCGGAAUUGAUAUCGGCGCAGUAUUAGGUCAGCGUCAUGGCACCGCCGAACAUGUCAUUGCCUACGCGAGUCGUUCUUUGAGUAAAGCUGAGUGCAAUUACACUGUUACUGAGCAAGAAUGUCUGGCAGCUGUCUUCGCCGCGCACAAGUUUCGCCCGUACACCCAUGGCCGCUGAUUCUCCAUCGUCACAGAUUUCCACUCACUUUGUUGGCUCACUGGUCUACUAGUUCCAACCGGUCGUCUUGCACGAUGGGUGCUCCGUUUGCAAGAAUAUGACGUUGAUGUUUGCUUCAAAAGUGGCCGCCGUCACGCGAACGCUGACUGCCUAUCGCGACUUCCCCUUCCCACGACUGAAUGCGACGCCGACAAUUUAGAUGACUGUCUGGCCGCUUUUGACUCACGUUUUCCAGAUUUGGAAGCGUUCCGUACAGAACAAUGUCAAGACCGUAGUCUGGCUCCUUUUUUCUCAUCUGCCAUCGAUAAGCUGCAUCAGAGCCUAUUCGUCAUGCAGGAUGGCAUUCUUUACAAGUGAAAUUUUGCUGCGAAGGGGGCCCGCCUACUUUUGGUUGUCCCCAAAUCAUUGCGGCACAACGUGAUGCAAGCUAUGCACGACGAUCCAGCAUCUGGGCAUAUUGGGUUCGCCAAGACCUAUCACCGCACACUGAAAUGUUUCUACUCGCCCCGCAUGCGUCAGGCUACAGCUAAAUACGUGACCAGCUGUGAAAAUUGUCAACGAUACAAGAGUCCAACAAGUGCGCCGCCAAUGUUUCUCCAUCCCAUACCGCCUCCAUGUUUUCCCUUUGAGGUCGUCGGUAUUGACUUGAUGGGCCCUUUUCCACGAUCUGUCACUGGGAACUGCUGGAUUAUAGUCUCUGUAGACCACCUCACUCGUUAUGCUGAAACCGCAGCGAUCUCUGCCACAACAGCCGAUCACGUUUGUGACUUUUUGCUACGCUACAUCAUCCUCCGGCAUGGGCCCCUCGUGCCAUCAUCAGCGACUGUAGCCGGCAGUUUGUAGCCGACGUCGUAGAAGAGUUGAUUCGCCGGUCCGCUUCCCAGUUUCGUCACGCCACUUUAUAUCAUCCACAAACCAAUGGUUUGACUGAGCGUGUCAACAGGACACUCGUUAACAUGCUCACUAUGUACGUUGAUUUCAAGCAUAAAAACUGGGACGAAGUUUUACCAUUUAUGACCAAUGCCUACAACACUGUGCUACGACAGACCACGGGCUUUAGCCUGUUUUACCUUCUCUACAUCCGUGAGCCACGUACUACUCUCGACACAAUUCUCCCAUUUUCAGAGCAAGAAAACCCGUCCCUUGCAGAGACACUCUGUCGCGCAGAGGAGGCAAGGCGCGUCGUGUGUCUCCGGACUUUCGAAGCCCAAGAUCGUUCAAAGGCUCGCUACAAUGAGCGACAUAGAAAUGUGUCGUACAGCGAAGGUGCUAUGGUGUGGCUGUGGACUCCAUAUCGCAAGAGUGGUUUGUAUCAAAAGUUUCUGGCCCCCUAUACAGGUCCCUUCGUCGUUUUGUCGCGCCUUAGCGAUGUUACGUACGUGAUAUCACACCUCACAUCCUCUGGCCAUCGCUCCAGGAAAACUGGCGUCGUACAUGUCGCCCGGUUGAAGCCAUACCACGCGCGACACUAACUCGCCCAGUGGGCAUCGUCUGCAACGAGGAAAAUGAUACGGUACUUUCAUUGAAGUGGGGUAGAAGAGAAAGAAGUAAAUGUGUUCUGUGCCAGGCCUUAUUUCUGCAACCAUCUAUCAUCCCGCCUGUACAAUAAACAUCUCUCACUCGUAACAAUAUGCAUUAAAAUGAGAUAAAAGUUAAAACCUGUAUAAUAUUUGGCAACAAAUAGCUGCACAUUAUUUUAUGUAUGUGAAUUUUGUGUGAUAAUGCCAGUUUAUGUAUGUUAAAGAAGUUUCUGUAUAUAAAAGAGAAAAAGAUCAACUUGAGGCCACAGGUUUACUGUGCCUUAAUCGGCAAUAAAUUCUUUGCAACUGCCUUUUCUAUACACCAGACAGGAUACUGAUUCCUUGAAUUUCUUGCCUUCAUUUAUUCAUUCAGCUUAUUAACUAUAUUCAGAUAAUUACCUUCUUAUGCAUGGCAUGACUUUUUCAGCUAGACAUUAUCUCUGCCUUUACUUAAAGGUGGGAGGGGGGUCUUAAAAUAGCAUAAGAUCGUAAAAAAUGCUGACUUGCGAAAAUUGCAAUUGAAGUAUUUUUAGUUUAAAGUAUGUUUUGGAAAAAUUUUAUAUUAUCGCAAAAUACCAUUCCUUUUGUUAAAAUCCCAAUAUAUGAAAUACAAAUGUUUUUAUAACUGGAAACAUAAUUUUCUUGGCAUUGUUAUUUUCAGUGAAGUGAAUCUGCUUUACGGAAGUUUUGAGCAAGUUUUUGUGAAGAUAUCUAAACAAACUUGGUACCAUUCUUUUCCGCAGCCCUUGAACUACAAGCUAGAGCUUUUUUUCAUAUCUCAAACUUGAUAGAAUCGUAAUUAUUUGAUAAAUACCAGCUAAUUACUGGAAGCUCAUUUUAUGCUCCAAAUUUAAAUAUUAUUUUAUCAAAGGAAUAGCCAGUUUGAUAUCUAGUUUGCUUUAGCCCGUAAGAUGUACCUUUUAGAGGAAACAUGUAGUUUUGAAAACUAACUUUUUUUUUAUUGCGAGUUACCAUAACGACCCGUAAGAAUAUAUCUAAUUUUAAUGUAGGAAUCUGUCAUUACUUUUUUAUAAGUGAGCUAUUUGAAAUCUGUUUGCAGAUUAAAAAUCUCUAUUCGAUCGUACGCAUGCAUGGUAAUGUUUAUGAAUGAUAGUACAGUAACAAAUAUAAAAAAUUUAAACCCUCGUUCUCCCUUAAAGCCUUUCUUUAUGCACGCUAACAUUUUGAAUGUAGUUAUUUUUCAAAGGUUGUUGAGAGCUAGAACGAUUGACCUGGUUUGUUCAUGAACUGGCACUGUCAUAUUUUGUAGAUGCACUGUCAUGAUAAUAAUGUUGUUUAUGUUUCGUUUUUGUUUUGCAUUGCUUUUGUGUCAAUUAUGUAAACUAUGUUCUUUGUGAAAAUGUAUUCUACUCCUAAUAGCCCCCGGACAGGGCAGCUGUAUUUGAAAAUAAAGAAAUAAAUCAAUAAAUAAACAGAAGGAAACACUAGAACUGACCUGGUUCAGGUUGUAGUUCAGUUUCCUCGCAUGUCAAAGCUAUUCGA